This 809-nucleotide ribosomal RNA is filed under the name uncultured Comamonadaceae bacterium. RNAcentral describes it as "bacterial SSU rRNA". It matches the Rfam family "Bacterial small subunit ribosomal RNA", at positions 672 to 1482 of the family's 1533-position model. The record is from RNAcentral. Lineage: Bacteria; Pseudomonadati; Pseudomonadota; Betaproteobacteria; Burkholderiales; Comamonadaceae.
CGUGUAGCAGUGAAAUGCGUAGAUAUGUGGAGGAACACCGAUGGCGAAGGCAGCCCCCUGGGUUAACACUGACGCUCAUGCACGAAAGCGUCGGGAGCAAACAGGAUUAGAUACCCUGGUAGUCCACGCCCUAAACUAUGUCAACUAGUUGUCGGCGAAGAAAUUCCUUGGUAACGAAGCUAACGCGUGAAGUUGACCGCCUGGGGAGUACGGCCGCAAGGUUAAAACUCAAAGGAAUUGACGGGGACCCGCGCAAGCGGUGGAUUAUGUGGAUUAAUUCGAUGCAACGCGAAAAACCUUACCUACCCUUGACAUGCUAGGAAGCCCGCAGAGAUGUGGGUGUGCCCGAAAGGGAACCUAGACACAGAUGCUGCAUGGCUGUCGUCAGCUCGUGUCGUGAGAUGUUGGGUUAAGUCCCGCAACGAGCGCAACCCUUGCCAUUAGUUGCUACAUUCAGUUGGGCACUCUAAUGGGACCGCCGGUGACAAACCGGAGGAAGGUGGGGAUGACGUCAAGUCCUCAUGGCCCUUAUGGGUAGGGCUUCACACGUAAUACAAUGGUCGGUACAGAGGGCUGCCAACCCGCAAGGGGGAGCUAAUCCCAGAAAGCCGAUCGUAGUCCGGAUUCUAGUCUGCAACUCGACUGCAUGAAGCCGGAAUCGCUAGUAAUCGCGGAUCAGCAUGUCGCGGUGAAUACGUUCCCGGGUCUUGUACACACCGCCCGUCACACCAUGGGAGUGGGUUUCACCAGAAGUAGGUAGCCUAACCGCAAGGAGGGCGCUUACCACGGUGGGAUUCAUGACUGGGGUG